Molecule: ribosomal RNA, 447 nt
Filed under: uncultured bacterium
Lineage: Bacteria
Description: partial 16S ribosomal RNA
Rfam family: Bacterial small subunit ribosomal RNA
Source: RNAcentral
AACGAACGCUGGCGGCAGGCUUAACACAUGCAAGUCGAACGCCCCGCAAGGGGAGUGGCAGACGGGUGAGUAACGCGUGGGAAUCUACCCAGAUCUUCGGAACAACUGAGGGAAACUUCAGCUAAUACCGGAUACGCCCUACGGGGGAAAGAUUUAUCGGUUCUGGAUGAGCCCGCGUUGGAUUAGCUAGUUGGUGAGGUAACGGUUCACCAAGGCGACGAUCCAUAGCUGGUCUGAGAGGAUGAUCAGCCACACUGGGACUGAGACACGGCCCAGACUCCUACGGGAGGCAGCAGUGGGGAAUAUUGGACAAUGGGCGAAAGCCUGAUCCAGCCAUGCCGCGUGAGUGAUGAAGGCCUUAGGGUUGUAAAGCUCUUUCAGUAGGGAAGAUAAUGACGGUACCUACAGAAGAAGCCCCGGCUAACUUCGUGCCAGCAGCCGCGGUAA